UGCAUCAUGAUUUACAUUUGAGUGAGUGGCGAACUGGUGAGUAACACGUGGGAAACCUGCCCAGAAGCGGGGGAUAACACCUGGAAACAGAUGCUAAUACCGCAUAACAACUUGGACCGCAUGGUCCGAGCUUGAAAGAUGGCUUCGGCUAUCACUUUUGGAUGGUCCCGCGGCGUAUUAGCUAGAUGGUGGGGUAACGGCUCACCAUGGCAAUGAUACGUAGCCGACCUGAGAGGGUAAUCGGCCACAUUGGGACUGAGACACGGCCCAAACUCCUACGGGAGGCAGCAGUAGGGAAUCUUCCACAAUGGACGAAAGUCUGAUGGAGCAACGCCGCGUGAGUGAAGAAGGGUUUCGGCUCGUAAAACUCUGUUGUUAAAGAAGAACAUAUCUGAGAGUAACUGUUCAGGUAUUGACGGUAUUUAACCAGAAAGCCACGGCUAACUACGUGCCAGCAGCCGCGGUAAUACGUAGGUGGCAAGCGUUGUCCGGAUUUAUUGGGCGUAAAGCGAGCGCAGGCGGUUUUUUAAGUCUGAUGUGAAAGCCUUCGGCUCAACCGAAGAAGUGCAUCGGAAACUGGGAAACUUGAGUGCAGAAGAGGACAGUGGAACUCCAUGUGUAGCGGUGAAAUGCGUAGAUAUAUGGAAGAACACCAGUGGCGAAGGCGGCUGUCUGGUCUGUAACUGACGCUGAGGCUCGAAAGUAUGGGUAGCAAACAGGAUUAGAUACCCUGGUAGUCCAUACCGUAAACGAUGAAUGCUAAGUGUUGGAGGGUUUCCGCCCUUCAGUGCUGCAGCUAACGCAUUAAGCAUUCCGCCUGGGGAGUACGGCCGCAAGGCUGAAACUCAAAGGAAUUGACGGGGGCCCGCACAAGCGGUGGAGCAUGUGGUUUAAUUCGAAGCUACGCGAAGAACCUUACCAGGUCUUGACAUACUAUGCAAAUCUAAGAGAUUAGACGUUCCCUUCGGGGACAUGGAUACAGGUGGUGCAUGGUUGUCGUCAGCUCGUGUCGUGAGAUGUUGGGUUAAGUCCCGCAACGAGCGCAACCCUUAUUAUCAGUUGCCAGCAUUAAGUUGGGCACUCUGGUGAGACUGCCGGUGACAAACCGGAGGAAGGUGGGGAUGACGUCAAAUCAUCAUGCCCCUUAUGACCUGGGCUACACACGUGCUACAAUGGAUGGUACAACGAGUUGCGAACUCGCGAGAGUAAGCUAAUCUCUUAAAGCCAUUCUCAGUUCGGAUUGUAGGCUGCAACUCGCCUACAUGAAGUCGGAAUCGCUAGUAAUCGCGGAUCAGCAUGCCGCGGUGAAUACGUUCCCGGGCCUUGUACACACCGCCCGUCACACCAUGA
This 1350-nucleotide ribosomal RNA is filed under the name Lactiplantibacillus plantarum. RNAcentral describes it as "bacterial SSU rRNA". It matches the Rfam family "Bacterial small subunit ribosomal RNA", at positions 68 to 1407 of the family's 1533-position model. The record is from RNAcentral. Lineage: Bacteria; Bacillati; Bacillota; Bacilli; Lactobacillales; Lactobacillaceae.